This 253-nucleotide ribosomal RNA is filed under the name uncultured bacterium. RNAcentral's name for it is "partial 16S ribosomal RNA". It matches the Rfam family "Bacterial small subunit ribosomal RNA", at positions 524 to 776 of the family's 1533-position model. The record is from RNAcentral.
UACGUAGGGUGCAAGCGUUGUCCGGAAUUAUUGGGCGUAAAGAGCUCGUAGGCGGUCUGUCGCGUCUGCUGUGAAAACUCAGGGCUUAACCCUGAGCUUGCAGUGGGUACGGGCAGACUAGAGUGCGGUAGGGGAGACUGGAAUUCCUGGUGUAGUGGUGAAAUGCGUAGAGAUCGGGAGGAACACCUGUGGCGAAGGCGGCCCCCUGGGCCGGCCCUGACACUGAGACGCGAAGGCGUGGGGAGCGAACGGG